GGAAAUACAGAAUAAUAAAAAUAUAUUACAUAUUAUAACAGCUUGCAGAACUGUGAUGUCAUGGUUUCACUCUCAAUACCAAAUCCUACAAUAGCUUAGCUUGCCUGUACAAGUUGCUUCAUGACAACAGCUGACAAAAGAAAAUACUCAAGAGAAACAAAUCAACCCUCACACAGCCUCCCGUUGACGGCAGGAUAAUUAUAAAUGCUAGCCUUCACAUCUCCGAGGAAACUCUUUUCUUCCAAUCUGUCUAAUUAGCUUGCUUGGCCUUUUCUUUUAGUCGAACGGAACAAACUCGAAUAGAUUUAGACCCUGUUGUGGAAGGGAUCCGGUCCAGAUGGGACUUUUCUUUUGCUUGACAUUUUAGGAUCAAAUGUCUUCGCCACAUUUGAAGAUUUCCUUGUGUUCACGCCCACUGUGCUGAUAGUCUUCAAACUGCGCCGACUCUGGGGUGCUUUUUCCUGAACUUCUUGCUCCCUCACGAAACCGAGCGCUACACUUACUAGACCAUGCUCUUUAUCCGGGUCCGAUGCUAAUAAGAAGAUGCAUGCGAGCAGUAUAAGGGCUCUGAUUAAGAUGAAGCCCAUGAUUGUGGUUUGCGGAAGGACAAGAAAUAACAGCACAAGAACUACCUUCGUUUACUGCAAUAUCGGGAGCUUGGGUGAUUCGGAGACCCCCGGCCUUUUCUUUCCGUUCCAACUCUUAUAAAUAUAAGCCUUUGAUUCAUCAGCAGCGGAUUUGAUAAUGCGCUUAAUAGCAUAAAGUACGGAGGGGCCCCUAACAGCUAGAGUGAAUUCGGAUCAUUUAAAAAUCUUCGGCCUGGUAGGACGAAUUCUACGUUGAGGGUGUCGUCACUCC
RNAcentral lists this long non-coding RNA (858 nucleotides) under Eucalyptus grandis. RNAcentral's name for it is "long non-coding RNA (EGRA_LNC001102)". The record is from RNAcentral. Lineage: Eukaryota; Viridiplantae; Streptophyta; Magnoliopsida; Myrtales; Myrtaceae.